RNAcentral lists this ribosomal RNA (327 nucleotides) under uncultured eukaryote. RNAcentral's name for it is "partial 18S ribosomal RNA". It matches the Rfam family "Eukaryotic small subunit ribosomal RNA", at positions 1470 to 1796 of the family's 1831-position model. The record is from RNAcentral.
CCCUUAGAUGUUCUGGGCCGCACGCGCGCUACACUGACGAAUGCAACGAGCUUAUAACCUUGGCCGAAAGGUCUGGGUAAUCUCCAAAUUUCGUCGUGAUGGGGAUAGAUUAUUGCAAUUAUUAAUCUUCAACGAGGAAUGCCUAGUAAGCGCAAGUCAUCAGCUUGCGUUGAUUACGUCCCUGCCCUUUGUACACACCGCCCGUCGCUCCUACCAAUUGAAUGGUCCGGUGAAGCGCUCGGACCGCGGCCUCUUGACGGUUUUCCGUCGAUUGGCUGUGGGAAGUUCGUUAAACCUUAUCAUUUAGAGGAAGGAGAAGUCGUAACA